UAGCGCAGCUAACGCGUGAAGUUGACCGCCUGGGGAGUACGGUCGCAAGAUUAAAACUCAAAGGCUCUGACGGGGACCCGCACAAGCGGUGGAUGAUGUGGAUUAAUUCGAUGCAACGCGAAAAACCUUACCUACCCUUGACAUGUCUGGAAUCCUGAAGAGAUUUAGGAGUGCUCGCAAGAGAACCGGAACACAGGUGCUGCAUGGCUGUCGUCAGCUCGUGUCGUGAGAUGUUGGGUUAAGUCCCGCAACGAGCGCAACCCUUGUCAUUAGUUGCUACGAAAGGGCACUCUAAUGAGACUGCCGGUGACAAACUGGUGGAAGGUGGGGAUGACGUCAAGUCCUCAUGGCCCUUAUGGGUAGGGCUUCACACGUCAUACAAUGGUCGGGACAGAGGGUCGCCAACCCGCGAGGGGGAGCCAAUCCCAGAAACCCGAUCGUAGUCCGGAUCGCAGUCUGCAACUCGACUGC
This 471-nucleotide ribosomal RNA is filed under the name Achromobacter agile. RNAcentral describes it as "bacterial SSU rRNA". It matches the Rfam family "Bacterial small subunit ribosomal RNA", at positions 844 to 1319 of the family's 1533-position model. Lineage: Bacteria; Pseudomonadati; Pseudomonadota; Betaproteobacteria; Burkholderiales; Alcaligenaceae. The record is from RNAcentral.